CCUUUGACGUUAGCGGCGGACGGGUGAGUAACACGUGGGUAACCUACCUAUAAGACUGGGAUAACUUCGGGAAACCGGAGCUAAUACCGUAUAAUAUUUCGAACCGCAUGGUUCGAUAGUGAAAGAUGGUUUUGCUAUCACUUAUAGAUGGACCCGCGCCGUAUUAGCUAGUUGGUAAGGUAACGGCUUACCAAGGCGACGAUACGUAGCCUACCUGAGAGGGUGAUCGGCCACACUGGAACUGAGACACGGUCCAGACUCCUACGGGAGGCAGCAGUC
RNAcentral lists this ribosomal RNA (279 nucleotides) under uncultured Staphylococcus sp. RNAcentral describes it as "partial 16S ribosomal RNA". It matches the Rfam family "Bacterial small subunit ribosomal RNA", at positions 83 to 355 of the family's 1533-position model. The record is from RNAcentral. Lineage: Bacteria; Bacillati; Bacillota; Bacilli; Caryophanales; Staphylococcaceae.